GACGAACGCUGGCGGCGCGCCUAACACAUGCAAGUCGAACGGAGUCAAGAGGAGCUUGCUUUUCUUGACUUAGUGGCGAACGGGUGAGUAACGCGUGAGUAACCUGCCCUGGAGUGGGGGACAACAGUUGGAAACGACUGCUAAUACCGCAUAAGCCCACGGAUCUGCAUGGAUCUGCGGGAAAAGGAUUUAUUCGCUCUAGGAUGGACUCGCGUCCAAUUAGCUAGUUGGUGAGGUAACGGCCCACCAAGGCGACGAUUGGUAGCCGGACUGAGAGGUUGAACGGCCACAUUGGGACUGAGACACGGCCCAGACUCCUACGGGAGGCAGCAGUGGGGGAUAUUGCACAAUGGGGGAAACCCUGGUGCAGCGACGCCGCGUGGAGGAAGAAGGUUUUCGGAUUGUAAACUCCUGUCGUUAGGGACGAUAAUGACGGUACCUAACAAGAAAGCACCAGCUAACUACGUG
RNAcentral lists this ribosomal RNA (468 nucleotides) under uncultured bacterium. RNAcentral describes it as "partial 16S ribosomal RNA". It matches the Rfam family "Bacterial small subunit ribosomal RNA", at positions 28 to 507 of the family's 1533-position model. The record is from RNAcentral.